AUUGAACGCUGGCGGCAGGCUUAACACAUGCAAGUCGAGCGGGGUGAUGGUGCUUGCACUAUCACUUAGCGGCGGACGGAUGAGUAAUGCUUAGGAAUCUGCCUAUUAGUGGGGGACAACAUCUCGAAAGGGAUGCUAAUACCGCAUACGUCCUACGGGAGAAAGCAGGGGAUCACUUGUGACCUUGCGCUAAUAGAUGAGCCUAAGUCGGAUUGGCUAGUUGGUGGGGUAAAGGCCUACCAAGGCGACGAUCUGUAGCGGGUCUGAGAGGAUGAUCCGCCACACUGGGACUGAGACACGGCCCAGACUCCUACGGGAGGCAGCAGUGGGGAAUAUUGGACAAUGGGGGGAACCCUGAUCCAGCCAUGCCGCGUGUGUGAAGAAGGCCUUAUGGUUGUAAAGCACUUUAAGCGAGGAGGAGGCUCUUUUGGUUAAUACCCAAGAUGAGUGGACGUUACUCGCAGAAUAAGCACCGGCUAACUCUGUGCCAGCAGCCGCAGUAA
This 503-nucleotide ribosomal RNA is filed under the name uncultured bacterium. RNAcentral describes it as "partial 16S ribosomal RNA". It matches the Rfam family "Bacterial small subunit ribosomal RNA", at positions 30 to 523 of the family's 1533-position model. The record is from RNAcentral.